GUGUCAGCAGCCGCGGUAAGACGAACCGUCCAAACGUUAUUCGGAAUCACUGGGCUUAAAGGGUGCGUAGGCGGUCCGGGAAGUUGGGUGUGAAAGCCCUCGGCUCAACCGAGGAAUUGCGUCCAAAACUGCCGGACUUGAGGGAGACAUAGGUGAGCGGAACUUAGGGUGGAGCGGUGAAAUGCGUUGAGAUCCUAAGGAACACCAGUAGCGAAAGCGGCUCACUGGGUCUCUUCUGACGCUGAUGCACGAAAGCUAGGGGAGCGAAGAGGAUUAGAUACCCUCGUAGUCCUAGCCGUAAACAAUGAGCACUGAUUUGGAGGCUCCUCCAUAGGCUUCCAGAUGUAGCGAAAGUGUUAAGUGCUCCGCCUGGGGAGUAUGGUCGCAAGGCUGAA
Molecule: ribosomal RNA, 395 nt
Filed under: uncultured bacterium
Lineage: Bacteria
Description: bacterial SSU rRNA
Rfam family: Bacterial small subunit ribosomal RNA
Source: RNAcentral